Molecule: ribosomal RNA, 433 nt
Filed under: uncultured bacterium
Lineage: Bacteria
Description: partial 16S ribosomal RNA
Rfam family: Bacterial small subunit ribosomal RNA
Source: RNAcentral
AGCGAACGCUGGCGGCAGGCCUAACACAUGCAAGUCGAACGAACCUGUCGGGGUUAGUGGCGGACGGGUGAGUAACACGUGGGAACGUGCCUUUAGGUUCGGAAUAACUCAGGAAAACUUGUGCUAAUACCGAAUGUGCUCUUCGGGGGAAAGAUUUAUCGCCUUUAGAGCGGCCCGCGUCUGUUUAGCUAGUUGGUUGAGGUAAUGGCUCACCAAGGCGACGAGCAGGAGCUGGUCUGAGAGGAUGAUCAGCCACAUUGGGACUGAGACACGGCCCAAACUCCUACGGGAGGCAGCAGUGGGGAAUCUUGCGCAAUGGGCGAAAGCCUGACGCAGCCAUGCCGCGUGAAUGAUGAAGGUCUUAGGAUUGUAAAAUUCUUUCGCCGGGGACGAUAAUGACGGUACCGGGAGAAGAAGCCCCGGCUAACUUCGU